ACAUAUGAUGUAUACAUAUAAUUGUUAUUUUUAUGUUGAUUGGUCCCAUCACGAGCAAUUCGCACCCACCCAUUAAAAAUCCUGCGUACGCGCCUGGAGCUAAUGAUAAGAAUAAUUAACGACUAAAUAUAUAAAACAAGCGACUUGCCACAUAUCAUUUGAAAAGGGUUUUAGCUAACAAACUAGUUUGUUCUGUAUCCAUGUCCCAACAUAGCUGUGCUAUUGUUACAAGAUGGGCAGCAGGCCAGUUGAUAAUAUAGUAGCAUUUUCCAUAUUUGUUCAUUGAAUGACUAAUAAAAUGUCACCGCCGAUAUUCGGCUUUCCUGAAAUUCUGCUUGCUUUUGAUAGCUGCUUGCUUGAGUAUGUCAUGUGACCGUUUCAGCAGCACGUGAUUUGUUUGUGACAACAAAGUCGAGUUCAACCAGACCGAGAAAAAAACCCGUUCGCUUGUGGGUUGUUGCGCUUCACCUUAAACCAGAUUACCACAUCGAGGACCAGUUAAAUAGAUAGCGAACGUGGGCGUCGCUGAACACGGUACAAGAUGACUACUAGCUUUCACUUCACGAAGGAGUCACCUCCGGAUAUUAUGUUUACUGACAUUCAGACAGUGAACAAAUUUAACAAUGAGAUAAAGACCAUCGUUAGUUUCACACAACAUAGCCAUGAUCCACAGGAUCAGUCUGUAGCAGUGGCAAAGCUGCGUUCAGCCAUGAAGGAGCGUGCUGGCACAUCACGUGGUACACUUACUCAGCUCCUAGUCGAUUCCAUCAGUGACACACCUGUAGAUGUACGCGCAGAACUCGGUAAACCUGAUCACAUCAAACGUGCACUGCGUCGAGAACGGGCUAAACAUAUGCCCAAGAACCCCACUUCGCUCCGUGAUCUCAUGCUAGAUGAUGAAUGGACCACUUCAAGUGAUGGAGACAGAUUUCUCAUAUAUGACAACGGUGUGGAUUCCUCUGAUCGUAUGUUAGUGUUCGGGACUGAUGACGGAUUACGUCACCUUGCCAGUUCUGAGUCAUGGUUUAUGGAUGGAACAUUCACAGUUGCUCCACUGUUGUUUACUCAGCUGUAUGUGAUUCGUGUUCCACUCGGUGAGUCAGCUGUGACGUGUGUGUAUGCAUUUCUACCAAACAAGCACCAAUCCACAUAUGAGGAACUAUUCAUAUCAAUUCAGGAUCGCUGCAGCGAGCUAGGAUUCCAGGCUGAUCCUGUAACUGUCACCCUCGACUUUGAACAAGCUGUGAUGAAUGCAGUAAUAACAACCUUUGGUCCACAAGUCAAUGUUCAUGGAUGCUUCUACCAUCUUACGCAGAGCACGUGGAGGAAAAUACAGAGUCUCGGCCUUGUUCAACGCUAUCGGGAAGAGAAGGAUGUUAAGCUUUUCUGUGGUAUGCUUGAUGGACUGGCAUUCCUACCAGUUAAUGAUGUACCAGAGGGGAUGACCUAUCUGCGUGACAACACCCCUGAUGGGCUGGAACCCUUGCUCGUGUAUUUUGACAGCACUUAUGUGUCAGGAUCUUAUCGCCGUAUUCAGCCUCCUCAACGAUCAGAUGGAUCUGUACCUCCUCUUCGUAUGCGCCGUAUUCCCCCUGCGUACGCACCAUCCAUCUGGAAUGUGCACACCAUCACAUUGAAAGGUGGAUCCAGAACCAAUAACAUAUGUGAGGGGUGGAACAAUUCCUUUGCGAAACUAGUUGGACAUGCCCACCCAACCAUCUGGAGAGCCAUAGACAGCAUUCGGAAGGAUCAAACCCAGGCUGCUACUGCACGACUUAUGGAUGAGCGUGGUGAACGACCUGCAAAACGGGUACGACACCACAUAAAGAAGCUGCAGACGAAGCUCCAUAACCUCUGCACUGACAGACGGGAUGACAUCAAGUCCAUUUCGGAAGUUCUGAAAGGCAUCGGCCACUGUGUGAGGUGGAAGUAGGCUAGAUUACACUUGUUUCAAUAAAAAAUAAAUACUGUAUAUACGAUUUUGUUAUAUAUUGAGAUAUAUGAGUGGUGUUAUGUCCGAGUGGGUUUUUUUCUGUGUGGGGUUAUGUCCGAGUGGGGUUUUUUCCAGUGGGGUUUUAUCCAGUGGUUUUUUUUCCGGGUGGGGUUUUGUCCGUUUACCAUUUGUACUAGGUAACGUAGGUUAAAUUUCAUUUUAUUUCCUAAAAUAUAGUUUUUUCGUUCGUAUGAAAUUAUUUGAAGACAAAAUCCAGUUUGGGCUUCUUACAAAUAUUAAGACUACCAGAAACACAUUGAAUAUACAUAGGGGAGACCGGGGCACAGUGGGACACUGGGUACAGUGGGACAUUGCUAAUUUAUUUAAUUUAUAUUAACCAAUCAAAUACCUUGUUACAUAGUGGUAUGCAGCAUCACAUGUGUAAGCUUCCAUUGCAGAAUUCACAGAGUUCUGCUCAACAUAUGAACUUUUGUACAAACUUCAACGUUUUGACAGCAUUUUACAAUGGUCCGAAACAGGCAGAGAAAGACUAACAUUGGAAUGGUGGAUGAGAAAACAAUGGCAAUGGCGGUGAAUGAUGUUUCUAAUGGGAGUUCCAUACGACAAACUGCCUCAAAAUACAAUAUUGCUAGACAAACAUUAUGUCGAUACGUUUCAAGAACAAAGGCAGCCAUAGCUAACCAUGAACUUCCACGUUUUACACCAAACUACAGUGUAAGAAAGAUAUUCACAGAUGAAGAAGAGAACAUGCUUGUAACUUACUUACUGACAAGCUGUCAAAUGCACUGUGGCCUGUACCCCAGCCACCCAAGCUACAGAGACAGUUAAUUCCCCAAACAUUAAACCUACCCAAACCAAAAAGACAUAUGUAACUAAUUCAAUGUAUGUGUUCACCCCACUAAAGCAAAGCAUAGAAGCUAAUAAAACGAGCAAGUUAGUGAGUCCUGAAGAAAUACGACCAUAUCCUAAAGCUGGAGUGAGGAAAGGAAAAGUAGUAAAUAGGAAGCGAGGACGUACUAGAAUUGUUACAGAUACACCAGAAAAAGAAGAAUUAAUGAAAGAACAAGAGAAACAGCUUGCAAAAAAAUCAUUAGAACUGGAGUGUAAAAAGAGAAAGGUGAAACAGCUUUUUCCUCCUGCCAAGAGGAGAGUUCCUGAGAAAAGUGAUCACAGUGGAUCUGAAUCCGACGCCGAAUCAGAUGUGGUUUAUUCUGAAAACAGCGAUGAAGCCAGUCUUAGUGAUCAACAACAUGAUUUAUCAGAUUCCAUAUCUGUAGGAGAUUAUGUUCUUGUAAAGUUUGCCACCAAACGAUCAGUAUUACAUUAUGUUGGUCUGAUAACAAAAGAUGAAGCUGGUGGUGAAUAUGAAGUGAAAUUCUUGAAAUCUAGUACAAAAAGUGGUAAACAGUUUAGAUGGUCUGAACCUGAAGAUGUUUCAUUGGUGAACUCUGAAGACAUAGUAAAGAAAUUGCCCCCACCCUCCACUGUUGGUGGAACGGCAAGAGCCAAGAAACGUGUUCUCCACUGAUCUUACCUCGUAUCAUCCACUGUAAGGUAUCCAUGGUCAAGGCACAAGUUUUAAACAAUCAACCCUUAACUCCCCCAAAACAGAACACGAAAUAUAAAACCUCUGAAAACCCACAGCAAAAAAACCCCAAGAAAACUGAAAAUGUUCUGUCAGUUUGUGUGUAGCUUGUUCUUUUCUGGAAAAUGGAUGGUUAUAUUUUAAUAAACACGUUUCAGUUCA
Gigantopelta aegis is the source of this 3701-nucleotide RNA transcript. It is a transcript of the gene named COMM domain-containing protein 7-like, with no coding region annotated. NCBI's taxonomy places the organism in Eukaryota, Metazoa, Mollusca, Gastropoda, Neomphalida, Peltospiridae. The transcript is spliced from 3 exons. The record is from RefSeq and is a predicted model, not a curated record.